CGCCUGGGGAGUACGGCCGCAAGGUUAAAACUCAAAUGAAUUGACGGGGGCCCGCACAAGCGGUGGAGCAUGUGGUUUAAUUCGACGCAACGCGAAGAACCUUACCUGGCCUUGACAUGCAGAGAACUUUCCAGAGAUGGAUUGGUGCCUUCGGGAACUCUGACACAGGUGCUGCAUGGCCGUCGUCAGCUCGUGUCGUGAGAUGUUGGGUUAAGUCCCGUAACGAGCGCAACCCCUAUCCCUAGUUGCUAGCAGUUCGGCUGAGAACUCUAGGGAGACUGCCGGUGACAAACCGGAGGAAGGUGGGGAUGACGUCAGGUCAUCAUGGCCCUUACGGCCAGGGCUACACACGUGCUACAAUGGUGCGCACAGAGGGCUGCAAACCCGCGAGGGGGAGCCAAUCUCACAAAACGCAUCGUAGUCCGGAUCGCAGUCUGCAACUCGACUGCGUGAAGUCGGAAUCGCUAGUAAUCGUGAAUCAGAAUGUCACGGUGAAUACGUUCCCGGGCCUUGUACACACCGCCCGUCACACCAUGGGAGUGGAUUGCACCAGAAGUGGUUAGUCUAACCUUCGGGAGGACGAUCACCACGGUGUGGUUCAUGACUGGGGUGAAGUCGUAACAAGGGUAACCGUA
Molecule: ribosomal RNA, 635 nt
Filed under: uncultured Marinobacter sp.
Lineage: Bacteria; Pseudomonadati; Pseudomonadota; Gammaproteobacteria; Pseudomonadales; Marinobacteraceae
Description: bacterial SSU rRNA
Rfam family: Bacterial small subunit ribosomal RNA
Source: RNAcentral